GCAUCGGAUCUCGCGGUAUCAUCCGGUAGGGGAGAACCUUUAACAAAGGUCUAGUGAAGUUUGUCCGACAGGUCCAAGAACCAGCAUUUUACACUCCUCCACCCCCACCCCCAACUUAUCCUUACUUUCUCUUUCCAAAUCGCAAAAUUCUCCCCUCCUCUCCCCAGCUCGCUGCCCUCUUCUUGGUUCUGAGUUCAGAACGGAACCGGAAGUGUGGUGGGCGGAGCCCGGCAGCGGAAAACCCUGCGGAGCUGGAGCCGGGACGCUUCUGUGGCUGCUGUCCCGUCCAUCGCCACGGUUCGUCGGGUGUCUGGCCUGCACGGCUCCAGGCUGAAGGUCGGCCCGAAGGCGGGUGAGCGCGGGUCUCACCCGGAUUGUCUGGGCGGCACUGUCCCCGGGCCCCCCGGGCGCCGCGAGGGAUCAUGUCUACAGCCUCCGCCGCCUCCUCCUCCUCCUCGUCUUCGGCCAGUGAGAUGAUGGAAGCCCCUUCCCAGGUCCUUAACUUUGAAGAAAUCGAUUACAAGGAGAUCGAGGUGGAAGAGGUUGUUGGAAGAGGAGCCUUUGGAGUUGUUUGCAAAGCAAAGUGGAGAGCGAAAGAUGUUGCUAUUAAGCAAAUAGAAAGUGAAUCUGAGAGGAAAGCUUUUAUUGUAGAGCUUCGACAGUUAUCCCGUGUGAACCAUCCUAAUAUUGUAAAGUUGUAUGGAGCCUGCUUGAAUCCAGUGUGUCUUGUGAUGGAAUAUGCUGAAGGUGGCUCUUUAUAUAAUGUGCUGCACGGUGCCGAACCAUUGCCAUACUACACUGCUGCCCACGCAAUGAGUUGGUGUUUACAGUGUUCCCAAGGAGUGGCUUAUCUACACAGCAUGCAACCCAAAGCUCUAAUUCACAGGGACCUGAAACCACCAAAUCUGCUGCUCGUUGCAGGGGGGACAGUUCUAAAGAUCUGUGAUUUUGGUACAGCCUGUGACAUUCAGACACAUAUGACCAAUAACAAGGGGAGUGCUGCUUGGAUGGCACCUGAAGUUUUUGAAGGUAGCAAUUACAGUGAAAAAUGUGAUGUCUUCAGCUGGGGUAUUAUCCUUUGGGAAGUAAUAACACGUCGGAAACCUUUUGAUGAGAUUGGUGGCCCAGCUUUCCGAAUCAUGUGGGCUGUUCAUAAUGGUACUAGACCACCACUGAUCAAAAAUUUACCUAAGCCCAUUGAGAGCCUGAUGACUCGUUGUUGGUCUAAAGAUCCUUCUCAGCGACCUUCAAUGGAGGAAAUUGUGAAAAUAAUGACUCACUUGAUGCGGUAUUUUCCAGGAGCAGAUGAGCCAUUACAAUAUCCUUGUCAGUAUUCAGAUGAAGGACAGAGCAACUCUGCCACCAGUACAGGCUCAUUCAUGGACAUUGCCUCUACAAACACCAGUAAUAAAAGUGACACUAAUAUGGAGCAAGUUUCUGCUACAAAUGAUACUAUUAAACGCUUAGAAUCAAAAUUGUUAAAAAAUCAGGCAAAGCAACAGAGUGAAUCUGGCCGUCUAAGCCUGGGGGCCUCCCGUGGCAGCAGUGUGGAGAGCCUGCCCCCAACCUCUGAGGGCAAGAGAAUGAGUGCAGACAUGUCUGAAAUAGAAGCCAGGAUCGCGGCGACCACAGCCUAUUCCAAGCCUAAACGGGGCCACCGUAAAACCGCUUCAUUUGGCAACAUUCUGGAUGUCCCUGAGAUCGUCAUACCAGGCAACGGGCAACCAAGACGUAGAUCUGUCCAAGACUUGACUGUUACUGGAACAGAACCUGGUCAGGUGAGCAGUAGGUCAUCCAGUCCUAGUGUCAGAAUGAUCACUACCUCAGGACCAACCUCAGAAAAGCCAACUCGAAGUCAUCCAUGGACUCCUGAUGAUUCCACAGAUACCAAUGGAUCAGAUAACUCUAUCCCUAUGGCGUAUCUUACACUGGAUCACCAACUACAGCCUCUAGCACCAUGCCCAAACUCCAAAGAGUCCAUGGCGGUGUUUGAACAGCAUUGUAAAAUGGCACAAGAAUAUAUGAAAGUUCAAACAGAAAUUGCAUUGUUAUUACAGCGAAAGCAAGAACUAGUUGCAGAAUUGGACCAGGAUGAAAAGGACCAGCAAAAUACAUCUCGUCUGGUACAGGAACAUAAAAAGCUUUUAGAUGAAAACAAAAGCCUUUCUACUUACUACCAGCAAUGCAAAAAACAGCUAGAUGUCAUCAGAAGUCAACAGCAAAAACGGCAAGGCACUUCAUGAAUCUCUGGGACCGUCACAUUUUAGAAAACAUGAAGAAAGACUUUUUUUUUAAGAAAAGAAAAAACCUUUAUGACAACUCAUGAGUGUUAGCUUUUUUGGCGUGUUUUGAAUGCCAGCUGCCUGUUUUUGCUGCCUUUGUUCCGUCAUUUAUUUUCUCAUGGUGGAUCUGCAGUUCCACUGUCUCGUUGCAUAUGAUGGGAUCGGUGGUUUGGAUGAGCAGCACUCCUCAACUUCAAAACGUGCAGUGGACUAUGGCUGUAAAUGCAUGCUCAUUGUGUGAAGGCUAGCCUAACAGAACACGGGGUAUCAAACUAGCUGCUAUGUGCAAACGUCAUCUUUUUCCCAUUCUAGAGGUGGAACCUCAAAAUGAUUUUGUUCUUAUAUCUCAUCUCAAAAAAACUAAUAUUUUUUCCAAAAGAUGGUAUAUACCAAGUUAAAGACAGGGUUUUAUAAAUCUAGAAUAAUUGGUGGUAUAUUACAGGCACACAGAAUCUUUAGUGUUAGUUCAAAGUGAGGGCUUGAUGCCAGCACAUCCUUGGAUCAGUACUGAACUUAGUUCCGUCUGUAAAAUAUUUAAAGAUAAGGAAGUUGAUCUAAGAAGUUACCAAAAACUAUUCUUAAAAAUGCUAAAGCAGGUAACUUUUUCUUCCAUUAUAUUUUUCCUCCCAUUGAGUUUUAUAAUGAACUCCCUUGUGUAUACAAGCAAUAAAGGUAAAGGACAGUUUGUAAUAAACCGUGUCAUUUUCAGCUUCUUCAAAAGCUUACCGGAAUUAUCUUCUAUCACUUUAUUUAAAUCAGAGGAGAGUUUUGAUUUCCAAAAAAUAUUAUUACCUAGCUGAGAUUAUUAUUGGGCACACAGCAUUUGAUGUUCAGGGAUGAAUGGUAAGGGUUUAUUGUUCCAUUAAGGUUUAGCAUUAGAGAUUUCACAUUUUAUUUGUGGACAUUCAUGUGCUUUUAGCAUACUUAAAGGAAAAUAUAUUAUUAUUUUCAUUUUUAUUAUAUGCAGGUACUUCCUAAAAACAGCCAAAUAAGUAAAUGGAAGGAAAUCAUAGAUUUAGUCAUAGUACCAAGUGCAGAAGAUUGAACAUUUGCUUGUUUAUUCACAGUAAAUUCCUUGAGAUUUUCUGUUCUGCCUGAAUAGUAAGCCAAUUUCUAUCUUACUCUCUUUUUAGUAGUUGCAUUGCCAGUCUCACCCCAUUUUUUUUUUAAAGUUCUGAUUAUCCGCUAAAGAUGGAUACCUAAACAGAUACCAUGGAUAAUUAAAACCUUAAUAGUUUUCAUCAAUGUCUUCAUUCAUUAAAGCUUCAAACAGAUAUUAACAGGGAGCUAACCCUUUAAUAAUUCUGGAUUUUCAAUUUAAUCUAACUUUUUUUCUGGGAAGGUAGAAAUAACAAACAGACAAACAAGUUACUAAAACGUCCUAGUCUAAGAAAUUCACAAACAAUCCCUUAACAAAUAUUAAUUAUGUUUUAUUCUUGCCUCCAUGGAAAGAAAGCAAAGCUUUUCUGUCCUCUAGAGGAAAGUAUUCUGUAACAGUAAAAAUGGCUUUUGGGAAUUAGAAUUAAAUCAGUUAAUAUUCACCUUAUAACAACACAGCAAAAUGAAAAAGGUUUUUGGUUUGUUUUGGGAGGGGUUGUUUUUGUUUCGGGGGUCUUUUUGUGGCUUAAAGACAUUGAAUGUCUUUUUUUUCUUCAGGUUUGUUUCAUGUUGGUAAUUUCAUCUCCUGUCAAUAGCCAGAGCUCACAGGUCUUCCCUAUGAAAUUUGUUUCAUUUCUGUAACUGUGAUUUUCAGCAUUCAACUCUUCUCUUCAAGUGGUAGUAGGUUCUGAUGUCAUUUAGAACAUUUUAUGUAAAAUAAUGUAAUGGAAAAAUUCUUGUAUAUACUGUGUAAAGGAAGCUUUUUAGAUUUUUUUAAAAUAAAACUCAGAUUGUUGUUCUAAACGGGUACAUAAAAAUGGUUAAAUGGCUUAUAUUGGCAAGUGAGCUAUGAUGUGUUCGCGGUAGCAGUGUGUUUAUCUAACACAGAACUUAAUAAAACCUGAAAUGUCAGUAUUCUUAUAAUAAUCACACCAUGUAUUAUAACCAUGAUUUUUGAGAAGGUGGAGCAGCCAGUUUACAGCAUACCUUUACCAUUUGAAAAUUUCAGGUUAAAUGAAUGCUCUUCGCUGUUUCAUCAGUCUUAAUAUAUAUGACGCAUAACCCAACAUACAGAUGAUUCUUCCCACAAGAAAUCUGGUUUAUUAUAGUUUCCUAAGUUAGAUUUCUUUUAUCAACUAACUUCUCAACCGGAAGGUGUGCACCCAUUUUUAUAAACCCAACCUUCAUUUUUGUAAAUUCACCCCAUUUGCUCAUUUUUUAAGUAUAUAUUGAUAACCUUUUACAAGCUGAGCUACUGCUGCUAAUGCCAAAUUACAUGCCUACAUCCAUUACACAGUAGUCGGAUGAGGUGGAGAAAUAAACUCUAGAAUUUUGAUGGUACCUGGGUCUGCUUUGCCAUCGACAUAAUCUCUUUUAGCAGAAUCUCAUAUGAUUUAAUCUCAUAUAUGAUUUAAUCAUAUGUAUAACUCCCUUGCGUUUUUGUUGGAGUGUUUGAUCUCUAUAUGUUAGGCGUUAGGAAUGGAAAUGGACAUGGCAAGUAGCGUAUCGAUAGGUCCCUGAAGGUUUAUCGCACUGAUUCUUUAUUGGCUUGACUCCUUUCAAAGUUUUCUAUUGCACUGUUAAAUUGCAGCUGCUUCCAAUUGACUUACCAUCCUGGGAAAUUUGAGAAAUGCUUUCAGUGACGCUGCUAGCAAUCUUCUUCACAGUAUUUCACGUGGUGUCUCACCUAGGUCCGUCACUGGUACUCUGUGCACUGUGCCGUGGUACACAAAACGAUACCUAGGUUUGCUGUAGCAAAUCGUGCAGUGCUCGCCACCUUGGCACUUCUUUCCAUCAGUGACCAGCCACCGCCAGGCGCCAUGCAGCCCCACCCAGCAGAACGAGUGGAUGUCUUCGUAGUUAUUACAGGAAUGACUCAUGGAUUGAUUCUUUCACAAAAUCAAAUUGUACUAAAGAAGCCUGAAAAUAUACUUGAGACCUUCUUUUGUGAUUGAAGAAUAAGUGGGUGAUACUCUCUCAUCACACACUCUAGAACACUUGGCUUCUAAUCAGUUUCCUACUAAAUACCCAUAUAAAAUA
Molecule: RNA transcript, 5420 nt
Organism: Fukomys damarensis (Damara mole-rat)
Lineage: Eukaryota; Metazoa; Chordata; Mammalia; Rodentia; Bathyergidae
Gene: Map3k7
Gene name: mitogen-activated protein kinase kinase kinase 7
Exons: 18
Source: RefSeq, a predicted model, not a curated record